GAUGAACGCUGGCGGCGUGCCUAAUACAUGCAAGUCGAACGAACGGACAGUAAGAUCUUGCUCUUACUGUUGGCGAGUGGCGGACGGGUGAGAAAUACAUCGGAAACUUAUAUUACUGGGGGGAUUACGGGGGACAACUGACACUAAUAGCGCAUACGUCCAACGGCUUAAAUCAGAGGUGCAUGAAAGUUUUCGCGACACAUUUAGACGAUUCCGGGUUGCAUUAGCUAGUUGGUAAGGUAACGGCAAACCAAGGCGACGAUGCGUAGCCGAGCUGAGAGGGUGAUCGGCCACACUGGAACUGAGACACGGUCCAGACUCCUACGGGAGGCAGCAGUAGGGAAUCUUGCGCAAUGGGCGAAAGCCUGACGGAGCAACGCCGCGUGAGUGAAGAAGGUCUUCGGAUCGUAAAGCUCUGUUGUUAGGGAAGAACAGCUGAUGGAGUAACUGCCGACAUUGUGACGGUACCUAAACAGAAAGCCACGGCUAACUACGUG
This 497-nucleotide ribosomal RNA is filed under the name uncultured bacterium. RNAcentral describes it as "partial 16S ribosomal RNA". It matches the Rfam family "Bacterial small subunit ribosomal RNA", at positions 28 to 507 of the family's 1533-position model. The record is from RNAcentral.